Molecule: long non-coding RNA, 652 nt
Organism: Girardinichthys multiradiatus
Lineage: Eukaryota; Metazoa; Chordata; Actinopteri; Cyprinodontiformes; Goodeidae
Exons: 3
Source: RefSeq, a predicted model, not a curated record
UGUUUUUCUGCCUCUCUUCUGCAGUCUCCUUUCAACCAGGCCGUUUAGGCUGGAGAGUGAGAUGGUGUGAGGAGCCUGGCUGGAGAGAUCUUUAACUCAGCCGAGGACUGAGGAGGAAAUGUCGCUGUUGCUGUAAUCACUCCGAGUUGUGCAGGUUGCCCUGCGCUGCAACACUGCAACCAGCAGACAAGCAAAGCAGCAAAGCGUGCGACUCAGCCUGUUCUUCUAGAGAGGCGGAUGUGCGUUGACCAAGAAGCUCCAUAUGUUCGUGGAUUCCACGUGUAGAUCACAGAAUAUCCGUGGCCCUGCUAAAGCCACGCAGAACGGAUCCUCAUUUCUACUAAUCUGCUGGAGCCCGCCUGGGGCCCCUGGACCGAUGAUGGUGUUGCACUUGGUGUUUCGGAGACUCGAUAAUGAAAUCCAGCUCUAUUUCUGGAAAAUCUCCCGGUUUGCAAGGUUCAGCUUCAGAUGUAUGCAGGUAAUCAGGCCUCACAUGCGGAAAAAACGACGAGCGAAAGAACUCCAUAAGAUGAAUUCUCCAUGCAGUCCGGACGGACAAGCAUGCAGUCAACAUAAACUUAGGAGUGAAAAAAUAAUUUCCUUAACCGAAUAAAAACAUAAACAAAAAAUAAAUAAAAAUAACCAAAUGAUU